Molecule: ribosomal RNA, 638 nt
Filed under: uncultured bacterium
Lineage: Bacteria
Description: bacterial SSU rRNA
Rfam family: Bacterial small subunit ribosomal RNA
Source: RNAcentral
AGAGUUUGAUCCUGGCUCAGAUUGAACGCUGGCGGCAUGCCUUACACAUGCAAGUCGAACGGCAGCACGGGAGCAAUCCUGGUGGCGAGUGGCGAACGGGUGAGUAAUAUAUCGGAACGUGCCCAGUCGUGGGGGAUAACGCAGCGAAAGCUGUGCUAAUACCGCAUACGAUCUACGGAUGAAAGCGGGGGACUCGCAAGGGCCUCGCGCGAUUGGAGCGGCCGAUAUCAGAUUAGCUAGUUGGCGGGGUAAAAGCCCACCAAGGCGACGAUCUGUAGCUGGUCUGAGAGGACGACCAGCCGCACUGGAACUGAGACACGGUCCAGACUCCUACGGGAGGCAGCAGUGGGGAAUUUUGGACAAUGGGCGCAAGCCUGAUCCAGCAAUGCCGCGUGCAGGAUGAAGGCCUUCGGGUUGUAAACUGCUUUUGUACGGAGCGAAACGGUCUGCCCUAAUACGGCAGGCUAAUGACGGUACCGUAAGAAUAAGCACCGGCUAACUACGUGCCAGCAGCCGCGGUAAUACGUAGGGUGCGAGCGUUAAUCGGAAUUACUGGGCGUAAAGCGUGCGCAGGCGGUGAUGUAAGACAGAUGUGAAAUCCCCGGGCUCAACCUGGGACCUGCAUUUGUGACUGCAUC